RNAcentral lists this ribosomal RNA (323 nucleotides) under uncultured bacterium. Its description in RNAcentral is "bacterial SSU rRNA". It matches the Rfam family "Bacterial small subunit ribosomal RNA", at positions 28 to 334 of the family's 1533-position model. The record is from RNAcentral.
GAUGAACGCUAGCUACAGGCUUAACACGUGCAAGUCGAACGGGACUUGUUAAGUUGAAACUUCGGCCGAUUCUUUUCAAGUCUAGUGGCGGACGGGUGAGUAACGCGUGGGUAACCUGCCUCACACUGGGGGAUAACAGUCAGAAAUGACUGCUAAUACCGCAUAAGCGCACAGCAUCGCAUGAUGCAGUGUGAAAAACUCCGGUGGUGUGAGAUGGACCCGCGUUGGAUUAGCUAGUUGGCAGGGCAGCGGCCUACCAAGGCGACGAUCCAUAGCCGGCCUGAGAGGGUGAACGGCCACAUUGGGACUGAGACACGGCCCAG